ACCUACCACUGCUAAUCUAUGCCACUGCCAACCUAUCUAUCACUGCUAAUCUAUCACUGCUGCCAAUCUAUCUACCACUGCCAAUCUAUCUAUUGCUGCCAAUCUAUCUACCACUGCUAAUCUAUUACUGCUAAUCUAUCACUGCUAAUCUAUCACUGCUAAUCUAUUGCUGCUAAUCUAUCUAUCACUGCUAAUCUAUCACUGCCAAUCUAUCUAUCACUGCCAAUCUAUCUACCACUGCCAAUCUACCUACCGCUGCCAAUCUACCUACCACUGCUAAUCUAUUACUGCUAAUCUAUCACUGCUAAUCUAUUGCUGCUAAUCUAUCACUGCUAAUCUAUUGCUGCUAAUCUAUCUAUCACUGCUAAUCUAUCACUGCCAAUCUAUCUACUGCUGCCAAUCUAUCUACUGCUGCCAAUCUAUCUACCACUGCCAACCUACCUACCACUGCUAAUCUAUCACUGCUAAUCUAUUGCUGCCAAUCUAUAUAGAAUAAAUUAUGGUCUCAUUUGAUCCCAUUUUGUAAAAUGGAAUCAAAUGAAACUGAGAUCACUAAUUUAUUAGUAAAACAUGAUCUGAGACUAGAUUUAUAAUAUAAACAGUGUAAAGUGAUUAAUUUACUAAACACUAUAUGGGACC
RNAcentral lists this small RNA (639 nucleotides) under Histoplasma capsulatum. Its description in RNAcentral is "hypothetical RNA". Lineage: Eukaryota; Fungi; Ascomycota; Eurotiomycetes; Onygenales; Ajellomycetaceae. RNAcentral also lists the same sequence under 1 other name. The record is from RNAcentral.